Molecule: ribosomal RNA, 460 nt
Filed under: uncultured bacterium
Lineage: Bacteria
Description: partial 16S ribosomal RNA
Rfam family: Bacterial small subunit ribosomal RNA
Source: RNAcentral
CCUACGGGAGGCAGCAGUGAGGAAUAUUGGUCAAUGGGCGCGAGCCUGAACCAGCCAAGUAGCGUGAAGGAUGACUGCCCUACGGGUUGUAAACUUCUUUUAUAAAGGAAUAAAGUGAGGCACGUGUGCCUUUUUGUAUGUACUUUAUGAAUAAGGAUCGGCUAACUCCGUGCCAGCAGCCGCGGUAAUACGGAGGAUCCGAGCGUUAGCCGGAUUUAUUGGGUUUAAAGGGAGCGUAGAUGGGUUGUUAAGUCAGUUGUGAAAGUUUGCGGCUCAACCGUAAAAUUGCAAUUGAUACUGGCAGUCUUGAGUACAGUAGAGGUAGGCGGAAUUCGUGGUGUAGCGGUGAAAUGCUUAGAUAUCACGAAGAACCCUGAUUGCGAAGGCAGCUUACUAAACUGUGACUGACAUUGAUGCUCGAAAGUGUGGGUAGCAAACAGGAUUAGAUACCCCUGUAGUC